RNAcentral lists this ribosomal RNA (463 nucleotides) under uncultured microorganism. RNAcentral describes it as "bacterial SSU rRNA". It matches the Rfam family "Bacterial small subunit ribosomal RNA", at positions 9 to 463 of the family's 1533-position model. The record is from RNAcentral.
GAGUUUGAUCGUGGCUCAGGACGAACGCUGGCGGCGUGCCUAAUACAUGCAAGUCGAGCGAAUCAUCGGGAGCUUGCUCCCGGUGAUUAGCGGCGGACGGGUGAGUAACACGUGGGCAACCUGCCUGUAAGACUGGGAUAACUUCGGGAAACCGGAGCUAAUACCGGAUCAAGCUUUUCCUCGCAUGAGGAAAAGCUAAAAGACGGUUUCGGCUGUCACUUACAGAUGGGCCCGCGGCGCAUUAGCUAGUUGGUGAGGUAACGGCUCACCAAGGCGACGAUGCGUAGCCGACCUGAGAGGGUGAUCGGCCACACUGGGACUGAGACACGGCCCAGACUCCUACGGGAGGCAGCAGUAGGGAAUCUUCCGCAGUGGACGAAAGUCUGACGGAGCAACGCCGCGUGAGUGAUGAAGGCCUUCGGUCGUAAACUACUGUGUUAGGAGAACAAGUAUCGAAGUAACU